GCCAGCUUAGCUCAGUUGGUAGAGCAGCUGAUUCGUAAUCAGCAGGUCAAGAGUUCAAGUCUCUUAGCUGGCUCCA
This 76-nucleotide transfer RNA is filed under the name Desulfovibrio desulfuricans. RNAcentral's name for it is "tRNA-Thr". It matches the Rfam family "tRNA". Rfam says of the family: Transfer RNA (tRNA) molecules are approximately 80 nucleotides in length. Their secondary structure includes four short double-helical elements and three loops (D, anti-codon, and T loops). Further hydrogen bonds mediate the characteristic L-shaped molecular structure. tRNAs have two regions of fundamental functional importance: the anti-codon, which is responsible for specific mRNA codon recognition, and the 3' end, to which the tRNAs corresponding amino acid is attached (by aminoacyl-tRNA synthetases). tRNAs cope with the degeneracy of the genetic code in two manners: having more than one tRNA (with a specific anti-codon) for a particular amino acid; and 'wobble' base-pairing, i.e. permitting non-standard base-pairing at the 3rd anti-codon position. RNAcentral also lists the same sequence under 13 other names. Lineage: Bacteria; Pseudomonadati; Thermodesulfobacteriota; Desulfovibrionia; Desulfovibrionales; Desulfovibrionaceae. The record is from RNAcentral.